RNAcentral lists this long non-coding RNA (499 nucleotides) under Zea mays. RNAcentral describes it as "long non-coding RNA (ZMAY_LNC001388)". The record is from RNAcentral. Lineage: Eukaryota; Viridiplantae; Streptophyta; Magnoliopsida; Poales; Poaceae.
GAACAGCCGAUUGCAAGCCAAGCAGAAUCCCAUUGGUUCAAGAAGAUUUGUGUGGAUUCAGGCCGUUGAAUAGCGUAGCACACUACGUCCAGUUAGGUGAGUUGCCCUAUGUUGAAUUAUGAGAUAUAUGUGUUAUGUAUCGGUCAUUGAUCUAGAAAGCCAUGUCCUUUUGCUGAUCUAGAAAGUCAUGUCGUUCUUUAUAUAGUCCAGAAAAGCAUUCUAGUCUGCUAAAAUGCAGAAAUCCUAGCUAGUAGGAUUGCAUGGUACAAGUAUUACAUUCAGUGGAUCCUAAUUAAACUAGGUCUGUUUUACUUGCGAGGUAUCCCACACCUACCUUGGCGAUAUUUGUUUUGAUGCCGGUGAAGGGCGGUAAGAGUUUGGCCUAUCAGAUGUGUUGGUGGUUCUCAUCAGAUCUUAGUAGCAAAUUUGUUUAUUAGGAGAAGCAAUUUAUUGACUUUUGAUGACCUCUUGUUUUGGUCUGUUGUGUAGUCAUAGUCCA